This is a long non-coding RNA of Papaver somniferum (opium poppy), 1653 nucleotides long. RefSeq lists it as uncharacterized. The transcript has 3 exons. The record is from RefSeq and is a predicted model, not a curated record. NCBI's taxonomy places the organism in Eukaryota, Viridiplantae, Streptophyta, Magnoliopsida, Ranunculales, Papaveraceae.
UCUUAUUUCUCUUUCUUCUUUCGUUCUUCUUUCUUCUCUUUUCUUCUUCUUUAUGUUUUUCCUCUUCUCUUCUGGCUAUCUCAAAUCAAGAGGAUUAAUUAAGCGAGAUUUGUGUGUUUGAUUCAUGAAACAACUUGUAACUUGAUUAAUCGAGGAAGUUGAUGUUGAUACUGAAACUGAUUGAGUUUCGGGAAAAGAAGGAAUUAACGUUGCUGCUAAUAGAAGUUAGGGUUUAUACGAAAAGCUCAGAGAAAGAUUAAGAGAUGAAAUUCGUGUUCUAAGAUCAGGAAUUGAGAUGGGUUUAUGUUUAAUUGGGUGAUAUGAAGUCGUUUUGAUGAAGAAUCAGUGAGUUAGGGUUUGUAAGAAAUUCAGAGAGGCUGUAGAAGAUGAAAUUGAAGGUCUGGAAGAUUAUUUGGAGAUGGGUAUGACGUGAAAUAGAGUAUUGAUUGAAGCAGGGUUGUGCUAGCAGUGAAGAUUGAUUCAAUUUGAGAAAUAGGGUUUCUGUUCUUCCCCAAAACAGAAAUUAGGGAUUAGGUUUUCGUUCUUGAAGAUUUUGGAUAAGGAGGAGGUAGAAGAUGUUUGAUUUGAAGAUUUGAAUUGAUGUUAUGAACUCGAAUUAGAAAGUAGAGGAUUAAGAAUUGGUUUAGUGUUCCUGAGAAUCAAAGAUGAAGAUGGGUAUUAUAAAAUUUUAGUUAAUUGAACUGAUGGGUGUUGUUAGUUUAGAGGUGUGAUGCUGAUUUGAGUCAAAGUAGAGAACUUGAGUUUAGUUAUUGGAGCAAAGCUACUUUAAGGUAAAUUGUCUCUCUUAGCAACUUAGAAAGUUAUCUGGUUUUCUUUAUCAAGUUUAUAUGAAUGUUUAUGAAUUGGGGAUUGAAAUGGUUAUAGCAAAGAUGGAAUGUAUACAUGAAUUAAUCUUUAUCUCAAGAUGGAGUUUAUGUAUUGUUGUGAAUCAGUUGGAAGUGGAAAGGAAGUAUUAUUACUGAGUUAUGAUGAUGUUGUAUUGAGAGGCAGUUAGACUUAAUUUACAUGGAAUAAACUCAGUUUGGUUUUACAGGUGUGUAGUUGUGUUGGUGGUGUUGAACUGGUGGUGCAAAAUGGUUUAGAUGAGUAUGUUUGUUGUGUUGAAGAAUUGGCAUUAGGAAAAGAGGCUUGUGCUACUGUUGUGGGUGUUAAUGAUUGAAGCGGUGAGUGCAGGUGAUGAUACUGAAGUUGGGGAUAGUAUCCGUCGGUGAAUGUUGAGCUGAUAUCGCAAGGAUGGGAAGUUGGAGGUGUUUUUGGUACUGGAAUGGGAUGCAGGUGAAGUUAUUAGUGUCUCUUGUCAAGAAGUAGGUUAGAGUGGUGAUUUAGAGCUGUAGAUAGUGUUUGCUGUAAAGCUUGGAUAUUGCAGCUACUGCUUUUGCAGUUAGUCUAUAUUAACAACGAUCGAUUUAAAGGGCGAACCAGUGGAUCGUGGAUAUCGGGGUAGGCACGGAUUGUCUUCAAAAGAGUUUCAGAGACAGAUUAGAGUUGCGCAGCAAAAGCUUCAAGGGUGGAUUUCCGCUGUGUUUAUUAUGUUGCGUAUUUUAUUUGUAAACCAAAUAACUAUUGUAUAUGUAUCAUCUGAGAGGAAUCCUUGUAUAUAUAUAUAUAUUUCAGAGUGGGGCUAGUUUUGGG